AAAUACUGACCUUUUCAAAUUUUUCUUUAAACUAAACACAUCCUCUCUUCUCCCGAAUAUUCAAAACCAAUUUUACAAAUAAAUCUUGCAUGGAAUCUAAGUAUGUGUGUUGCUUUUGAUUGCUCUAGGAAUUUCUCGACAAUCUUUUCUCGCCAUCCAUAAACCUUUCUUUUAAAACCCUUAGAAUUAAUAUUUGAAUUUUAUUCGAAUCUUAACCCUACUCAAAUCCUAUGUCAUACUCUGUUGAAUAUUAUUCAAAUAUAAUAUACAAUACCUCGAUCUUGUCUUUAUCAAAAACAUCUAAACCCACUCGAAACAUCUUCCAUUUCAAAAAUCCUAGAUUUAAUAUUCAAACACCAUAUGAGAAUUAGCUCGAACCCCUAAACCUUAUCCCAAUAACUCUAGAUCCCAAAAUCUCCAAAAGAUUCCAUCCCUGUAUCUAAAUCUGGGUAUAGCUCUAUUCAAAUUUGAACCGUAUUCAAGUUUGAAUAAAAAACCUAUUAAAAAACCCCUUAAACAAAUAAUCUAAACCACCUAUUCACUAACCAGGCCGACAACCACUGGUUCGGCUGAUCUCCCGUUCUAGCCUAGCUCACUCCGCCUCCGGCCCUCCUCCACCUGGGCCAUUUGUUCCCUACUCUCCAGCCCAGCUCGCCUCCGGCCUAGCUCGCUCGGCCCACCGCACGCGCCAGCCCAGCGUGCGUCGGCUCGGCCUGCUCCCACACGCUGCCGCACCAUGGCAUCACCGCC
This 750-nucleotide long non-coding RNA is filed under the name Setaria viridis. Its description in RNAcentral is "long non-coding RNA (SVIR_LNC009336)". The record is from RNAcentral. Lineage: Eukaryota; Viridiplantae; Streptophyta; Magnoliopsida; Poales; Poaceae.